Molecule: long non-coding RNA, 2782 nt
Filed under: Olea europaea (common olive)
Lineage: Eukaryota; Viridiplantae; Streptophyta; Magnoliopsida; Lamiales; Oleaceae
Description: long non-coding RNA (OEUR_LNC002815)
Source: RNAcentral
GUGACUAGUAUUUAAUUAUUAAUUUGUUAAAAUCAAAAUUGCAAUAAGGAGACCAAUAAAAACAGCAUUAAUUAUUUUACAAUACAUUCAUUCAAAAUAGUUUUAAAACAACACAUGUAUGUAAAACGUGUUUGGCUUACACAAACUCGACUCCGUAAUGAGAUCUAAAAUUUAAUUUUAUAGAGACAAAGUCCCUAAACAUAUAUAUAUAUACUGAUUCAAUCCAAGACCUUGAAAAAGUCGUCUGGCCGUACACUUUAUCUGCGCCAAUAAGAGUAAGAGCUUGAGAAGAAGGGAAAGAAGAUGAAAGCAUUAAGGUUCGUCGGGGGUUCGAAUCCCUCCUCGUUCCUAACAAGCGGAUCUAAUGUUAACAGCCAGAACAGUAACAUAAAUAUCCACGCAGGAUCAAUCAACUGGUUCCUUGAAGAAAGACUUUUUGGGUGUUUCCGCAAUCAUCGUGCUCUUCUCAUCAAUCUAAUAGCAUCCCGUUAUAUUCACAAUUUUAAGAUAAUUAAAAGCUACUUUCUGUUUAGAAAAAUGUUUAAAUAAAACAUUUUUAAAAACGCGUUUUUCAUAGUGAUGCCUUUGUUUUAGCCGGUCCUACUUAUGUGAGUGACAACUAUCAAUCUUUUCUAUAGCCACAUUGAAAUUUCCAGAAAAAUUAGGAGCAACAAUUAUUAAACUAUUCAAUGGCAAUUGAAAUUUCAAAAGAAGACAAAGACACCCACGUUGAAGAAAUGGUCCCAAAUGUACAGAGAAUAUGUCGGGACACUGAACCACUGUGUCACUUAUCAUCCAAUUUCACCAUAAAAAAUGCUCGUGCCUUCACAUGCCUUAUGUCCCAAAAGAAAUUGAAGAAGAAGACUUUUUCUUAAUCUAAAAUAACAAAAUGAUAAAAAGAAAAAUAAAUUUUUUCACCUUCAUCUCUCUAAGACCAUUACAACUGAAAUGCAAGACUAGAUGAUUAUGUUUAUAUGAUUAAAUUUAAAUUGUAGUAAAACAAAUCGUUUAUAUUAAUCACACGACUUCAUAUUUUUGUAAAACUAAAGUACAAAAUUGACAUCACAAUUUUUUCAUAUAUUUAAAUUUUUAUUUUUUUUAUGACAGUUGGUGUCCGGGCCAACUUACGUACACCUCGACUAAUCUCACAAGAUCCUGAAGUUUAUAGUUGAGUACUUAUCUCAGUGGCUUUGAGGGAACUCGAACUGAUAAUCAUUGAGGAGCAAACCCAAAGUCUGAUUACUGAACUAUUCCCUAAAGUUAAUUUUUUUUCAUAUAUUUAACACUACAAAUAUCUACCAACAUAUAUUAAAUAAGUUUUUUUUUUUUUUUAACAUGAACAUCAACUUAAAAGGAACCCCCUUUUUUGCAAGUUCCAGAGUAUGCGGUUGUGUGUCAAAAACAAAGUAAUAAAAAAAGGUAUGCAGUUAUAAGUAAUAAUAGUUUUAAGUAAUUGUUUCCCAUAAUUAUCAUAAUACGUCAGAAGUUUCUUGAAAAAAGAGGAAGGAUAGUAAUAAUUAUCAUAAUAUGAUAAAUUAAUAUGAACACGAAUACCGCACACCACAAAUGAUGGACAAUUCUAGAUCUCAAUAUUCUACCUAACCCGUAAGAAUUAUUUUUGUUCAAACUUUCUUUUGCACCUAUAAACUAAAAAUCUUACGAAAAAUUGUAAUUAAGCUCGAUUGUAGCAAAUCCAGGGAUCGAGUUCAGAUAAGACAGAUCGCAAGCGUUGAAAACUUAAUAUCGAUAGCCAACAUCCGUGACAGUGGGAUUGUUUAUUAAUAUUUAAUUAAAUAACAUUCAAAAAAUCGUACAGAUUAAAAUUAGAAGAACUAAAACUAGCUGUGAACUUUCAUUUUGAAUGAAAAAAUGAUUACAUAAUAUGCAAAAUGUCCUAAUUUAUUUUUUAAUUAAAUAUGCAAUAUAUAUUAACAAAAUGCUAAUAUUCAAUUUAGAAUUAAAGUUAAUUAAACAAGCAUUAUUGUAAUAACAAAAUUGAAUUAUUUAUGUGUUUAAAUCAAUUUUAUGUGCUUGUAUGAUUUUACUUUUUCGCAAUCAAUUUUUUGUGAACGAAAAGUGGAACCUUUUCUUAAUUUAAUAAGUUUUGUUGAAAGAUUCCUUAUGACACUAGAGCCAAUUUUUCUACAAAUUCAUGUAUCACUAAUUGACCAAAAUCUCAAAUUAAUUGAUUAGAGAGGAAAAAAAAAAGAAAAAAAAAUCAAGAAGAGGGACAAAGCACCGGUUAAAAUGUUUCUACUUACAUUAAACCAGUAAAAUUGAACAUAUAUUACUUUUUUACAUUAUGUGCUAAAAAGCAAUAAGUGUCAUGAUGGUAAAAUUAUUAAUAUAUUUGAGAAAUGUAGCAGAUUCGAAUCAUAUUCCUUGUAUUUUUUUGGUAAAAAUUGUUGAAAUACAAAAAUUAUAAAAAAUAUUGCUCUUUAAGAGUUUCGAAUACAAAACCUCCAAUUAAAUAAUAAAAGGGUUAACCAGCUAAGCUAAAAAUUGAAUUAUCAAAUAUAUAAUCUAAAAAUUUUACCUCAAUAAAAAAAAAUUCUCCAUGAUGAAUCCAGUUAGGGCGACCGCCGCCUAGCAUGAUUUGCUUGAUCUGUCCUCUACUUGGUUGCAGAAAAGAGUCAAGAGAUUUAGCAGAUUAAUUGAGGCACGGAUGGACAGGGCGAUUAGAUAGAAUAAAGGCACGGAUGGAUAGGGCGAUUAUAUAGAAUAAACAAUAGUGAGUUGUUGAAUAAUAUGAAUAUUUCAGCUUUUAUAACACUUCCAUGCC